UAGGGAAUUUUCGUUCAAUGGGCGCAAGCCUGAACGAGCAAUGCCGCGUGAACGAGGAAGGUCUUCGGAUCGUAAAGUUCUGUUGAAGGGGAAAAAGAGCGGAGAGAGGAAAUGGUCUCCGAUUGAUAUUACCCUUCGAGGAAGUCACGGCUAA
This 154-nucleotide ribosomal RNA is filed under the name uncultured bacterium. RNAcentral describes it as "partial 16S ribosomal RNA". It matches the Rfam family "Bacterial small subunit ribosomal RNA", at positions 355 to 500 of the family's 1533-position model. The record is from RNAcentral.